AGUGAACGCUGGCGGUAGGCCUAAUACAUGCAAGUCGAACGGACGCACAGUAAGAGUUCUCCUCUACGGGUGGCGAGUGGCGGAUGGGUGAGGAAUACAUCGGCAUCUAAUUUUUCGUGGGGGACAUCGUAGGGACACUUAUGCUAAUACCGCAUACGACCUACGGGUGAAAGCAGGGGUUCUUCGGACUUUGCGUGACUCAAUGAGACGAUGCCGGAUUAGCUAGUUGGCGAGGUAAAGGCACACCAAGGCGACGAUACGUAGCUGAUCUGAGAGGAUGAUCGGCCACACUGGAACUGAGACACGGUCCAGACUCCUACGGGAGGCAGCAGUAGGGAAUAUUGCGCAAUGGGCGCAAGCCUGAUCGAGCCAUACCGCGUGAGUGAAGAAGGCCUUCGGAUUGUAAAGCCCUUUUAUUAGGGAAGAAAAACAGCGUAUUUAAACCCCGCUGUUUUGACGGUACCCAAAGAGUAAGCAACGGCUAACUUCGUG
RNAcentral lists this ribosomal RNA (492 nucleotides) under uncultured bacterium. Its description in RNAcentral is "partial 16S ribosomal RNA". It matches the Rfam family "Bacterial small subunit ribosomal RNA", at positions 29 to 507 of the family's 1533-position model. The record is from RNAcentral.